Hypanus sabinus (Atlantic stingray) is the source of this 389-nucleotide long non-coding RNA. RefSeq lists it as uncharacterized. The transcript is spliced from 3 exons. The record is from RefSeq and is a predicted model, not a curated record. NCBI's taxonomy places the organism in Eukaryota, Metazoa, Chordata, Chondrichthyes, Myliobatiformes, Dasyatidae.
CAGCGUCUGGGUAGAUCGGUAUGUCAUGCGAGGUGGAAGAUCUAAAGCUGUGUGCCUGGGGACCCGAGAUCUUUGGGCACAGAGCUCGGAAAAAGCGAUGCAAUGGAUUUUUAGCAUUGUAAACCAACGAGUUGUUUGUUACGUCUCCCCUCUUGCUGUGAAACAGAGACACCUCCUUCUCCCUUAUUAGGGUGAGAGAGAGCCUGAGUCCUGAUGAAGGGUCUUGGCCCAAAACACUGACUGCUUACUCCUUUGCAGAGAUGCUGCCUGACCUGCUGAGUCCUUCCAGCAUUUUGUGCCCCUGUAUAAAGGAGACCUGCGGCCUGAAGAUCGGCCUCAGUCUCCAGGACCUUGUAUGAUAGACACUCACUCCUGGUUCCUUCUUCCAG